Molecule: transfer RNA, 65 nt
Filed under: Bankia setacea
Lineage: Eukaryota; Metazoa; Mollusca; Bivalvia; Myida; Teredinidae
Description: tRNA-Met
Source: RNAcentral
UGGAGAGUAAACUAAGAUAAGUUGUUGGGCUCAUGACCCGGAUAUAGGCUUUUGUCCUCCUCCUU